Molecule: unclassified non-coding RNA, 2402 nt
Filed under: Nilaparvata lugens (brown planthopper)
Lineage: Eukaryota; Metazoa; Arthropoda; Insecta; Hemiptera; Delphacidae
Description: cystinosin homolog, transcript variant X5
Source: RNAcentral
GAAUAGCGCUUGCUACAGUAGAUGUACGGUUGGUUCUGUGAAUUAAGGUUAUCUGUGAUAAAAUAUUAGUUUAUUCGACUUUAUUCUGUGAUAAAAACAUUCUACCCUAGAUUUUAUUUAUGUUUUAAUCGAAAAACUUGUAACUGGAUCAGUGUCUACUGUCUAGGAGAGAUAUUACACAAAUUGAAUUCACAUUGUACUCCAAAGUUAAAGAGUUAUCUGCCUCAACAGCCGAACCAAGUGCCAAAUACAAUUAACUCAAAAAUAUCUGUCGUCACUAGGAGAAUAGUUACAACAAUUUCAAAAAUGUGCCACUGUAAAAUUAUCUCAACAUUUUUCAUCGCCAUCGUCUGUUGUGGUGUGAGUACAGUGAAGACAGCCGAUCUCCACAUUUUAGAUCAUGAUGUUUCAAUCCUUGUCAACGAGACACAGAAUGUUGAACUGGUUUUAGAGGGGAAGCUCCAAAAACCAGUUGAGGUGAAACUGGAAACUCAGCAUAAGGAUGUGGUCAGAGCCAAUCCUAGUAUAAUAGGGCUAAAUCCUCCCGGGCCCUGGUUAUUCGAAGUAACCGGACUUAAACCUGGGUUGAGCUUGGUUUACAUUAACUCUAACUCAACUCCCAGUUCUGAACUGAACACAAUUCAAGCCUUCGUUAGAGUGACUGUACAGCACUCUUAUGUUUUGGAAUACAUUAGUUUGACAGUGGGGUGGAUUUAUUUUGCUGCGUGGUCUGUCUCAUUCUAUCCUCAAAUUUAUCACAAUUGGGAGCGAAAAAGUGUUGUCGGUCUAAACUUUGAUUUUAUGGCUUUGAAUUUGCUUGGAUUCACAUUAUACGCUGUAUUCAACUUUGGGCUGUACUUUGUACCAGAAAUAGAGAAAGAGUAUUUCGAAAGACAUCCCACGGGUACCAACCCUGUACAAAUGAAUGAUAUAGUAUUUGCAGUGCAUGCUACUUUUGCAACGCUAUUCACCAUUAUUCAGUGUUUCUGCUAUGAGUCUGGUGCUCAGCGAGUUUCCACCACAGCGAGAUCUAUUCUCUUCUUAUUCUUUUUGAUAAUCACAACAACUCUGGGUCUAACGCUUUUCGAAAAGCUUGCCUGGCUGGACUUUAUCUACUACUGUUCCUACAUCAAGUUGACCAUUACACUUAUCAAGUACAUUCCACAGGCUUACAUGAACUAUCAAAGGAAGAGUACUGUCGGCUGGAGUAUAGGCAAUGUGAUACUAGACUUUACUGGUGGCAUACUAAGUAUGGCUCAGAUGUUGGUCAAUGCUUUCAACUAUGAUGAUCUACAAUCAAUAAUAGGCGAUCCUGUCAAAUUUGGAUUGGGUCUUUUCUCAGUAGUAUUCGACGUCUUCUUCAUAGUUCAACACUACUGCUUAUACAGAUUUGGUUCUUCGUACGACCUUUCUUACCGAACAUAGAAAAGGGGACAUUUGCAACACGCACUACCUUUCAAUGCAACUAUGGCAAGAAAUAGGCCUAGUAAUGAAACUUGGUAUAAGACUCUUUAGUGGGGAAAACACACUGAAAUAUACCUAAGGUUUCAUUGUAAGAUUCAGGUUAAACCUGCAAAAUUCUCUGCAUGAGAAUCAUAAUAAUUCAUAUUAUUAAAAUUAGGGAGAAGACACUGAAAUAUACCUCAGGUAUCAUAGUGAGAUUUAGCUCAAACUGUCAAAAUUCUCUGCAUGAGAAGCAUUUAUAUAUUAAUGGUAAUAGGGGGAAGACACUAAAAUAUACCUAAAGUUUCAUUGUAACAUUCAGCUCAAGCUGUCAGAAUUCUAUGCAUGAGAAGCGUUUAUAUAUUAAUUAUAAUAGGGAGAAGACACUGAAAUAUACCUAAAGUUUCAUUGUAACAUUCAGUUCAUACUGUCAGGACUCUUUGAAUGAUAAGCAUUCAUAUUAUUGAAAAGGAAUCCUGAAAGUGAAAAGCUUAUAAACUUUCAUUGACAUUAAUUAUGGAAGUCUACUGUUCUUAGACAUAUUGUCUUUUUAGAUUAAAUCUUUAUUCUUUAUUUAUUCUGUGCUCCAUUGUCAAAAGAAUAAAUAGAGAAUAAAUAUUUAAUUAGAAAACAUACCGUAGUUGAAACCUUAACGUAUUUUAAUCCCAACUUCAAUGAAGUGUAUAGCAGGGUUUCAAGUACCUAUCAAGGUUUCAGCUUGUAGGAUCCAAGUUCACACUAAAAACUGACACAAUAUUUUUAAUUUCAUCAACUAGUUUCAUUUUUUUGUUUUAUUUUAAAAACACGAAAUGUUUUGUCAUUCAUAGACAAAACUUUGCCAUUUUCAAGUGUCAUAUACAGGGUGAUUCUUAAUUAUGGUAAAAUAAUUUGAUACGUGAUAGUAGUGAUAAAAAUAAGAAAAAAAGUUCUUAUAAACAUAUAUCCAUAAACGCUUCAUU